This 481-nucleotide ribosomal RNA is filed under the name uncultured bacterium. Its description in RNAcentral is "partial 16S ribosomal RNA". It matches the Rfam family "Bacterial small subunit ribosomal RNA", at positions 28 to 507 of the family's 1533-position model. The record is from RNAcentral.
GAUGAACGCUGGCGGCGUGCUUAACGCAUGCAAGUCGAACGAAGCACUUUAUUUGAUUUCCUUCGGGACUGAUUAUUUUGUGACUGAGUGGCGGACGGGUGAGUAACGCGUGGGUAACCUGCCUUGUACAGGGGGAUAACAGUUGGAAACGGCUGCUAAUACCGCAUAAGCGCACGGCAUCGCAUGAUGCAGUGUGAAAAACUCCGGUGGUAUAAGAUGGACCCGCGUUGGAUUAGCUAGUUGGUGAGGUAACGGCCCACCAAGGCGACGAUCCAUAGCCGACCUGAGAGGGUGACCGGCCACAUUGGGACUGAGACACGGCCCAAACUCCUACGGGAGGCAGCAGUGGGGAAUAUUGCACAAUGGGCGAAAGCCUGAUGCAGCGGCGCCGCGUGAGCGAAGAAGUAUUUCGGUAUGUAAAGCUCUAUCAGCAGGGAAGAUAAUGACGGUACCUGACUAAGAAGCACCGGCUAAAUACGUG